This 203-nucleotide ribosomal RNA is filed under the name Pneumocystis carinii. RNAcentral describes it as "partial large subunit ribosomal RNA". It matches the Rfam family "Bacterial large subunit ribosomal RNA", at positions 833 to 1020 of the family's 2925-position model. Lineage: Eukaryota; Fungi; Ascomycota; Pneumocystomycetes; Pneumocystales; Pneumocystaceae. The record is from RNAcentral.
UCGGACUAGGAUAUAGCUGGUUUUCUGCGAAAUCUAUUUUGGUAGAUGACUUGUUAUUAUUUGUAGUGGGUAUAGCACUGAAUAUCUAACUUAUGUUAGAAGGGAGUAUGAAGGUACUUACUUUGGAUAUUUAAUCUCAGAAUAGCUAUUAAUAUAUGAUGAGUUAUCAGACUUCUUGCGAUAAGGUGAGGAGUCGAGAGGAA